UUAAAAAGCUCGUAGUUGGAUUUCUGCUUUGGACAAGUGGUCCACAUUUUCGUGUGAGUAUCUACUUUGGCCUUUGCAUCUUCUUGGGGAACGUUCUGCUUCAUUGUGGUUCGGGGAUCCAAGACUUUUACUUUGAGGAAAUUAGAGUGUUCGCAGCAGGCAAUCGCCGUGAAUACAUUAGCAUGGAAUAAUAUUAUAGAUUCUCGAAUCUUCUUUGUUGGUUCUAGGUUUGGGAAGAUGAUGAAUAGGAUCAGCUGGGGGCAUCCGUAUUAACGCGUCAGAGGUGGAAUUCUUGGAUUGCGUUACGACGAACUACUGCGAAAGCAUUUGCCAAGGAUGUUUUCAUUGAUCAAGAAGGAAAGUCUGGGGAUC
Molecule: ribosomal RNA, 372 nt
Filed under: uncultured marine eukaryote
Lineage: Eukaryota
Description: SSU rRNA
Rfam family: Eukaryotic small subunit ribosomal RNA
Source: RNAcentral